This is a long non-coding RNA of Mustela lutreola (European mink), 3015 nucleotides long. RefSeq lists it as uncharacterized. The transcript is spliced from 2 exons. Lineage: Eukaryota; Metazoa; Chordata; Mammalia; Carnivora; Mustelidae. The record is from RefSeq and is a predicted model, not a curated record.
CCCGGCCGCGGCGAGCCGGGAGGAGCGGGGUGAAGGGUGCGUGCGCGGGACGGCAGGAGACCCCACGCGGGUCUGGAGGCGGGAGGGUUCGUCUGCGCCCGGCGCUCCCCCACCGCGGGCGGGAGGCGGAGGCCGAGGGACAGCGGUCCAGGGCGCCCCCGCAGAGCGGGCCGGCUGGGUCCGGGAGGGGCGGGUGGCGAGGAGGGAGGAAGGGCCCCAAGCACACUCGGGGGGAGCGCGCGGGAGGGCCGACCCGGCAGGACGCGUCCCCAGGUCUCGUCGUACCCAGGGGCUGGAUACAUCUGAUACCUCUGGGUUUGGAAGGCCCCCAAACCUGCUGUGUCCCGGCUUCAGUGCCAGGGAUUUCUCCACGCCGAGUGCUGCAAACCCCGGCGUUCCUGGGAAGCGCGGCAUUUCGGAAGGUCGGGUCCCUCGACACCCACCCCGGCCCCGCUCCCGUGGAGCACACGCACUGUCCCAGCUUCACAACGAGAGAGUGAAGCGUGCGCGCCCUCACCCUCGCUAGGUCCUAGGGAGCCCUGAGCUGGGAGGUGCCCAACAGUCAGGAGCUCCCAGCCAGGGCAAGGAGGCCCAAGGGGCCAUGACUAGACCCUUUAGGCCGAAUCCGUCUGAGAAUCCUUGGAGAGCCCUGCUCGGACCCAGCAAGAAACCGGGCAGAAAACCCGAGGCCAGUGAGGCCUGCUCGAGGGACAGAACCCGGGCUGGGAGCCGGACGUGGACGGCUCCUCCCCGACCUGCUGGAUCCCAGGGACUCAUCUGUGUCCCGGAGCCAAGUCCUGGGUGCCUGGUGACCCCCCAGGGAGUGGAGCUCAGGGCUCAGAAGGUGGUCAGUUCUCACCAACGUGAUGGGCCCCCGGGUGUCUUGAAGUGCCGUGGAGGUAAGGGAGAGAUGCCCAGAAGGGGGCAGAAGGGCGCCUGGCACAGAGCAGGUGCCCCGAGCGCACCACUCCCAGCCUCUCUGUGCUUCUCCGGGGGCUAAGUUCGAGCCCUGCGUUGGGUGCAGAGGUUACUUGAAAGCAUGCUCUCGUGGCUCAGAGAGGCCGCCAUGGGAGCUCUCCCAGCCUUGGGGCUUUGCCCCUGGAGUUGAGCCUGCGCCCCUGGGGGGCUUGGACAUCUGUGUGGACACCGUCUCAGCCUGGCUGUGUGCGUCACAGGCACAGAACGCACCUAAGCCCUGAGAUGGGACUGACCUGCCCAACCAGGAGCCCAACUCCCUGGGAAGCAUCUGGAGGGUUAACAGAACAGGAGACGGUGCAGCAGGCACCUGGGGUCACCUUGGAGUCAGAAGCCAGCAUCGGCAAAUUUGGAUCUCGGGCUGAGCUGCCACCUCGGACACAGUCCUCUCCCUGCCUCACACCCCCGUGUCCACCACCUCCUCUGAGCUCCAGCUCCAUUUCUGUGUCUGCUUACCAUCCCCUCCCCGGCCCUGAGCUCCAGGGGCAGGGCCGGCACCCGGCAGGCGCCAGGCCGUGACACGGCCCAGUGACUGAGGAAUGGCUGAGCACCCACAGCCUGCGCCGGGGACCCUCCAGGUCAGCGGCCCCGGAGUCACAGCCAGAGAACAUGAGCCGCUUACUCCUUUACAGGCCGGUCCUCACAGUGAGGGUCCCCCCUGCACCGUGGCGCCCCCACCCCGCCAUGUCCAGCCCCAGCCAGUCUCCCUCAAGCACAACUCUGCUCCUUCUUCCUCCCAAACACACCUCCCAGCAUCCGCCCUACACAGCCCCAGGCCUCCACGCUCUCAUCCCCACGCCGCCCUGGCCGCGGUCCCCUCCUAGGGAGGCAGGUUCUGCACCUGCAGAUGGGCAGCCUACCCAGGCCUGGCCGGUCACUCAUUCAGUCCCAGGCACGAGUCUCACUCCAGGGCUCCCACUGGAGCUGCUGGGAACAGACCAUGCUUCCUGGGGAGGGCCCAGGCGAGCUGCAGCUUCCGGUGCCACAGCUGCCACCUUAGCACGAGGAAGCUAGAAGCCAACCGUCACAGCAGCCACAGUCACGGGACAGCCCGGCCAGGGCCUUCGCGUGUGCGCAUCAACAUGAGGGAAAUGACUCCUUUACGACAACCAGCAAAACCAGAGAAAGGGGGACCCCCGUCCAGAAGAAACAGGACAAGUAUCCAGAAAUGACCCCCCAGGCAAGAAGAGCAAAGACUCAGGUAAAGUGUCUAUAGGAAAAGGUGGAAAAUGCAGAAUUUCAGUAGAGAAAUGAAAAAAGCCAAGUCCACGUCCUAGAACCAAAAUAUACCCAGAGUGAGUAAGAGAAGGUGGGGGGCAGGCGCGCGUCAGCCGGCAUCCCCUUGGGCAGCCGGACACUGGGGGCAGCAGAGACGCUGGGACAGUGGCGGCCGGGGUGCCCCAGGCUCAGGAAAGGCACAAGGGGCCCCACACCAACCUGCCUCCCCUGGGACAGACCCACCCUACCCCCCGCAAACACGACACAUGGGACCCAACAUCAACCAGGAGUCCUCAAUCCAGCAACCCUAAGACACACACCACGUGCAGCAACGGGGCCUUCUCCGGCCAGCAGAGCAGGAACACCGCGGCCGUGGAGCCACCCAGGGACAGACCAGCUCGGCCGUGGCCCCACAGCCCCAGGGAGGAGCAAGCACCAGGCGCACAGCUGUCUUCAAAAGCCACGGCCACGGAAGAGCUCCCGCCAUGCUUGUGGCAGAGUGGCCAAAAUCCGGACCACGGAUGCUGGCGAGAGCUGGCGGGGCCGCAGGCAGUGGGAGCCUCUACCCUGGGCCGCCUCCACAGGACCCAAGGCUCUCCCCGCCCCUGCACUGGCUGUGGCUUGGACGGCCUCACGUCGAAGCAGCAUCAUGACCAGCCCCCUACAGCCCUGUGCCACCUCCGCCACGACAGCCCAGUUCACAGGGUCCACCGAGUGACCGGCCCCCAGCUCCUCCUCACAGCCCGUCCUCCCCAGCUACCACGAGGCACCCGUGGGUUUCAAAUCAAGUUUAAUAAAUAAAACAGCAAGGGAUUCAAGGCA